This 26-nucleotide non-coding RNA is filed under the name Mus musculus (house mouse). Lineage: Eukaryota; Metazoa; Chordata; Mammalia; Rodentia; Muridae. The record is from RNAcentral.
UGCAAUGGACUGCACAGGCACUAUCU